Chelonia mydas (Green sea turtle) is the source of this 275-nucleotide long non-coding RNA. RefSeq lists it as uncharacterized. The transcript has 3 exons. Lineage: Eukaryota; Metazoa; Chordata; Testudines; Cheloniidae. The record is from RefSeq and is a predicted model, not a curated record.
GAUGUUUUCAAGGUUUUGCUGUGUAUAGAAUUGCGAGAAGAGAAGCAAAGGAACAGGAGCUAACUAGUGUGGAUGUGUGAAGAAGAUUAUCCCACCAUGGAAUGAGCUGUGAGCAAGAACCACUUGGGGUCCCUCCUCCAUUAUGGAGUGCAUAUGCUGAAGCUGUGGUGAGGAGAAUCUACGUUGCAUAGAGCUGGGUUGGAGUGACCAGAAAUGAAUACAGCAAUAAGCCUUGCUGUGGAGCAAUGUGUUUUCUCUGCUAAUUUGGAAAGAAU